Molecule: ribosomal RNA, 433 nt
Filed under: uncultured bacterium
Lineage: Bacteria
Description: partial 16S ribosomal RNA
Rfam family: Bacterial small subunit ribosomal RNA
Source: RNAcentral
AACGAACGCUGGCGGCAUGCCUAACACAUGCAAGUCGAACGACACCUCCGGGACUAGUUGCGCACGGGUGCGGAACGCGGGGGAACGGGCCCUUAGGCUCGGAAUAAUUCUCUGAAAGGGGGGCUAAUACCGGGAAAUGUCCGCGGAUAAAAGAUAUAUCGUCUUGGGAUGGGCACGCGUUGGUCGAGCUUGGUGGUAGGGUAAAAGCCUAUCAAGGCGACGAUCCAUAGCGGGUCUGAGAGACAGAUCCGCCACACUGGGGCGAGGACACGGCCCAGACUCUUGCACGAUGCGGCAGUGCGGGAUAUUGGACAAUCGGCUAGGGCCUGAUCCAGCUCUGCCGCGUGAGUGAUGAUGGUCUUAGGGUUGUAAAGCUCUUUUACCCGCGAUGGUACUGACAGUACCGGGAGAAUAAGCUCCGGCUAACUCCGUG